Molecule: ribosomal RNA, 497 nt
Filed under: uncultured bacterium
Lineage: Bacteria
Description: partial 16S ribosomal RNA
Rfam family: Bacterial small subunit ribosomal RNA
Source: RNAcentral
GAUGAACGCUGGCGGCGUGCCUAAUACAUGCAAGUCGAGCGAACGGACGAGAAGCUUGCUUUUCUGAUGUUAGCGGCGGACGGGUGAGUAACACGUGGAUAACCUACCUAUAAGACUGGGAUAACUUCGGGAAAACGGAGCUAAUAUCGGAUAAUAUUUUGAACCGCAUGGUUCAAAAGUGAAAGACGGUCUUGCUGUCACUUAUAGAUGUAUCCGCGCUGCAUUAGCUAGUUGGUAAGGUAAAGGCUUACCAAGGCAACGAUGCAUAGCCGACCUGAGAGGGUGAUCGGCCACACUGGGACUGAGACACGGCCCAGACCCCUACGGGAGGCAGCAGUAGGGAAUCUUCCGCAAUGGGCGAAAGCCUGACGGAGCAACGCCGCGUGAGUGAUGAAGGUCUUCGGAUCGUAAAACUCUGUUGUUAGGGAAGAACAUAUGUGUAAGAAACAGUGCACAUCUUGACGGUACCUAAUCAGAAAGCCACGGCUAACUACGUG